This 2418-nucleotide long non-coding RNA is filed under the name Pelobates cultripes (western spadefoot toad). The record is from RNAcentral. Lineage: Eukaryota; Metazoa; Chordata; Amphibia; Anura; Pelobatidae.
AUGGGUUUGAUGUGAUAAUUCCACAAUAUUAAAGUGCCAGUGCAUAAAGGACCUGCAGGAAAAAAAAACAAACCAGCAUGAUAAGGACAAUUAAAGUGCCACUAUUAAAGUGACAGUGAAGAUGUGCAAACAAACAUAACUAAAAUAAAAAACUGUCUAUUAUAUAUGGAAAAUAAUUAAAAGAAAAAUCAAAACUAAAAUAUCAGUUAAUGUAUAGAAAUGUGAUCACUGCCAUGAUGAAAAAUACUGCUUAUGAAUAUAAUGUGACAGCUACAAGAUCUUAUUGCGACACCCUCACUUUACUUAUCAGAGGUUUUAAUGUUGUGGCUGUUCAGUGUAUGUACCAAACACCUGCUCCCCAAAUCCAUUUGUGGCUGUAGUCAAUCUUAAUGCUCUAAGCUGUCUUGACAUGAAUGAAGAAAGAAAAAACACAAUUCUCCAUUCCUUCUAAGUCUGAUUUGAGUAUCUGAAACAAUGCACAUACACUUGAACCCUCUGGUGCCUGAGGUUUAACUCCACCUCUGCCAGUGUCAUUGGAGCAUCAGCCAGCCCAGAACAAUAAAUCCUGGGUGGCAUUCUGUGCAUGUGUGAGGUCUGUCAGACAUGGUGCCACAGAGGGGCGGCAUGUGCUCCUCUCAGCUUGACCUCCCUGAUAUACAUUCCCCUCCAUUGAGGUGGAAUGACAUCAGCGAAGGACAAUCUGGCAGAGGAAGGACUUAUAUCAGGAGUUCAGCCAUUUUCUUUAUUUUUCUUUUGUGGGGGACAGGAUAGGAAGAGUUAAUCUCAGCAAAAACAGUGUUUUCUUAGAUAUUUUUGGUUGGAGUAAUUUUCACAAUUAUUAUUUUUUAUUUAUAUAGCGCCAUCAGAUUCUGUAGCGCUGUGCAAAGGGUGGACUAACAGACAUUUAAAUGUAACCAGACAACUCGACGUACAGGAACAGAGAGGUGGAGAGCCCUGCUCAAUGAGCUAACAUUCUAGAGGGAGUGGGGUAUAGUGACACAAAGGGUAAAAGUAGGGGUACAAAGUAAGUUGUUAGAAAAGUAUUUGCUAAGGGCUUAAUAGGUAAUUUUUUGACAGUUGCAGGAGAGGAGUCAUGGAGGGUGGGGGAUGAAAACCUGCUAACAGUUUAAUUGAAAUGCUUUCUCGAAGAAGUGAGUUUUCAAUGAUUUUGUGAAUGAGUGGAGACUGACGCAGUGUAUCAGGACUGUCAUAAAAAUGUGAGCAAGAGUAAAGUGUCUAGAACGCUACAAAUACCAGUGAUACCAACUGCUCUGGGACUGGGUACUUGAUAUGCAUUGCUUUCCAUCAGUGCAUGUGAUCAGUCUCAGAGCACCGACUAUCAACAUUCCAAGUCUUACCUUCACUCAAAGCCAAGUAUCAACACUUCCUUUAACCACACACCUUAUUAAAUAUAUGGUUUAAAAAACAUGAUAUGGUCUGUUAGUGUAAUGAAUGUAUUGUGAUUUGGUAGAACAAUACUUUUAGAACUAGUUAGGUGGUAAACAAGGAGCACGUUUAUAAUGACAGACAUUGCAAAUCAAUGCAGUUAUAAGUCACUCUCAAAAGGGAGACAAGGUGAAGCGUACUAUCUGCACCAUAACCUGUACAGUGAUGUUAAGGUGCAGUCUAAGCACCCCACCAUCACAGCCCAUAGUAGUAGUUAUGGUGCUCAAAUAUGGACAAAACUGAUAUUGCUGAUGUGGAAGUGUAAAUUAUGUGAUAGUGAUAAAGACAUGGCAAGGAGGAGAAUUUAUAAAGGUAUUAAAAUUUUAAAUUAUUCCUUAUGAAUGGAUCUUAUUAGUCAUCAAUUGAUUUCUGUGAGCAUUUUCCCAAAAAUCCUUUCCAAAAUGAAUCAGUACAAGAGUUCCAUCUAGUGGCCAUUACAUAUAUUACAGGGAGAAGAGAGACUAACAGACAUUGGUUUCAAAUUAAAAUAUUGUAAAGUAAAUAUAUAUAUCGUUAGUUGUCUAACCCAAGGACACUUAAUGUUAAGGUGGUCUGACUAGGAUUCAAUCUGAGUUUUACAGUUCUAAGAAGCAGACUUGCUGCAAACUGGCAUGAAUAAUGACCUGUAUUACUUUGUUUCCGGAUGAUUUUUUCUAUUCUUCAUGUGUUAUUUUAAGAUAUGAUGAACAAUGUAUAUGGCUGAAAUUGAAAUAACGGCAUAGAGAUAAUUUUCACCCUCUAACGGGGCAUGACUGCCACAUACAGUGAGCUUCAAAGUUCUAUCAGUAUAUCACACUUCUAGAAGAUAAAACCACAUGAUUAGCUAUACCAAACAAUCCAUUAAGCGGUAAUACAUAUGAAAAUGUAACGUGUAUCUGUCCUGAAUAAGGAAGGUAUAAAGCACACAAUUAUAUCUAUAUAUUUUUAUAGGUAAACACCUAGCAAAUUUACAAAUAACUAUUUUUAUUGCUG